GCGGUAAUGCACCUAUAAGUUGUUUGCCAACCGCCAAUAAAAAAAGAGAAGAAGAAGAAGAAGAAGAAGAAGACCCACACAACGGCACAUGGUGGUGAAAAAGCCGUGCUCGCUAUUCCGAGGAGACCAGCUGUUCAACAGACUUCAUCUUCGCAGCAGAGGAAGGUCAGACCAAAAGUUGGGGAGUAACAAGAGGAGGGUGGAAACCCAGAUGAUGAUGAUCUUCUGGAAUGACUGGCUGAUGGAGGCGGAUGGCUGCUGCUCUUUCGCCAAAAUAAAAUACCAAAUGCUGCGCACUAUUUUGGGAAUUCUCAAAUGAUUGGCUCAGGAACCAGGAAGGAGCAGAGAGCAUACAGAGGAGUUGAUAAAAUUCCGUGGGCAGAAUGAACACCUCUUUACCGGGGCCAAAAAUACUGCCACAGUCGGAUGGAGAACAAUCCUGCAAAAAACGGGCCUGGAGGAUGAAGAAUGCAAAGAUCCAGGGACAGGGCAGGGGGUCAGUGGGAAGCCUACUGCUGCCACCUGGCCAUGGUUUAUCCUCAGGUUCUGUGUUGCUGUUAUUGUUGAAUUAAAUUAUUAAAUUGUUUAUAAAAGU
This is a long non-coding RNA of Fundulus heteroclitus (mummichog), 595 nucleotides long. RefSeq lists it as uncharacterized. NCBI's taxonomy places the organism in Eukaryota, Metazoa, Chordata, Actinopteri, Cyprinodontiformes, Fundulidae. The transcript is spliced from 6 exons. The record is from RefSeq and is a predicted model, not a curated record.